RNAcentral lists this ribosomal RNA (690 nucleotides) under uncultured archaeon. Its description in RNAcentral is "bacterial SSU rRNA". It matches the Rfam family "Archaeal small subunit ribosomal RNA", at positions 102 to 792 of the family's 1478-position model. The record is from RNAcentral.
GGAUAACUUACCCUUAGGACUGGGAUAACUCUGGGAAACUGGGGAUAAUACCGGAUAUUAGGCUAUGCCUGGAAUGGUUUGCCUUUGAAAUGUUUUUUCGCCUAAGGAUAGAUCUGCGGCUGAUUAGGUCGUUGGUGGGGUAAUGGCCCACCAAGCCGAUGAUCGGUACGGGUUGUGAGAGCAAGAGCCCGGAGAUGGAACCUGAGACAAGGUUCCAGACCCUACGGGGUGCAGCAGGCGCGAAACCUCCGCAAUGUACGAAAGUGCGACGGGGGGAUCCCAAGUGUUAUGCUUUUUUGUAUGACUUUUCAUUAGUGUAAAAAGCUUUUAGAAUAAGAGCUGGGCAAGACCGGUGCCAGCCGCCGCGGUAACACCGGCAGCUCGAGUGGUAGCUGUUUUUAUUGGGCCUAAAGCGUUCGUAGCCGGUUUGAUAAGUCUUUGGUGAAAGCUUGUAGCUUAACUAUAAGAAUUGCUGGAGAUACUAUUAGACUUGAAGUCGGGAGAGGUUAGAGGUACUACCGGGGUAGGGGUGAAAUUCUAUAAUCCUGGGAGGACCACCUGUGGCGAAGGCGUCUAACUGGAACGAUCUUGACGGUGAGUAACGAAAGCCAGGGGCGCGAACCGGAUUAGAUACCCGGGUAGUCCUGGCCGUAAACGAUGUGGACUUGGUGUUGGAAUGGCUUUGAGUUG